RNAcentral lists this unclassified non-coding RNA (142 nucleotides) under Zaire ebolavirus. RNAcentral's name for it is "intergenic region". Lineage: Riboviria; Orthornavirae; Negarnaviricota; Monjiviricetes; Mononegavirales; Filoviridae. The record is from RNAcentral.
UAGUUUAGCAUUUCCGGUCACAAUCUACCUCUUGAAACAAGAACAAUAUUUUUACAAGCUUGUUAUUGAUUGUAAUAUAACAAUAGCCAAUACCAAACACCUCCUCCACAGCUUGAAGCAUAAAGAAUUUAUGUUCCGUCAG